Neltuma alba is the source of this 76-nucleotide small nucleolar RNA. RefSeq annotates it as small nucleolar RNA Z155. The record is from RefSeq and is a predicted model, not a curated record. NCBI's taxonomy places the organism in Eukaryota, Viridiplantae, Streptophyta, Magnoliopsida, Fabales, Fabaceae. The transcript has a single exon.
CACCGAUAUGAUGAUAAGCUGUUCGGAAAUUCUAUGUGUCGACUUACAAAUUCAGACUACAAUUAUCUGAUCGGUG